Molecule: long non-coding RNA, 1066 nt
Filed under: Sus scrofa (pig)
Lineage: Eukaryota; Metazoa; Chordata; Mammalia; Artiodactyla; Suidae
Description: lncRNA (ENSSSCG00070008112.1)
Rfam family: Small nucleolar RNA SNORD116 (bases 372-465)
Source: RNAcentral
UUGUCGCCCUCACCCAGCUGCUGCGGCGGAGAGACGGAGGCCAGCGCGGGGAGCGGAAGCCGGAGCCUGUCGGGAGCGACCCCGGGAAGGCCAGUCCCUCCUGCCGGAGGGAGGCGUGUUGGCGUGCGGCCGGUGGCGGGAUCGAUGGCCACCUGGUAGGCGAUGGUAAGCGGCAGUGGCCUGCGCCAAGGUAGCCCCCGGGGGGCGGUGUGUGGCGCCCGGACCCGCACCCUCUGCUCCCGGGGGUGGAGCUGACCUGCUUGCCCGCGGUUGGGCUCGGGAGCCUGCGGGCCGCGGCCAGGAGGGAGCUGGCUGGCCGUCCCGGCGGUGGGGGCUGUGGCGGUGGCCGUCCCGCGGGUGUGCCCGUGCUCGGAUCGAUGAUGACACCCACAAACGCAUUCCUUGGAAAAUCUGAACAAAAUGAGUGAGAACUCACUACCGUCUCCUCAUCGCAAACUGAGGUCCGGCACGUGGCUCCCACAGGGGACGUCGGGGGAGGGUCCCGUUGCCUUGGCUCCCUUGGCUGCUGCGGCGGAGAGACGGAGGCCAGCGCGGGGAGCGGAAGCCGGAGCCUGUCGGGAGCGACCCCGGGAAGGCCAGUCCCUCCUGCCGGAGGGAGGCGUGUUGGCGUGCGGCCGGUGGCGGGAUCGAUGGCCACCUGGUAGGCGAUGGUAAGCGGCAGUGGCCUGCGCCAAGGUAGCCCCCGGGGGGCGGUGUGUGGCGCCCGGACCCGCACCCUCUGCUCCCGGGGGUGGAGCUGACCUGCUUGCCCGCGGUUGGGCUCGGGAGCCUGCGGGCCGCGGCCAGGAGGGAGCUGGCUGGCCGUCCCGGCGGUGGGGGCUGUGGCGGUGGCCGUCCCGCGGGUGUGCCCGUGCUCGGAUCGAUGAUGACACCCACAAACGCAUUCCUUGGAAAAUCUGAACAAAAUGAGUGAGAACUCACUACCGUCUCCUCAUCGCAAACUGAGGUCCGGCACGUGGCUCCCACAGGGGACGUCGGGGGAGGGUCCCGUUGCCUUGGCUCCCUUGGGUGCGUGCAGCCUGGGGCGCAGGUGGGGCAGGCAGGC